This 646-nucleotide ribosomal RNA is filed under the name Bacillus subtilis. Its description in RNAcentral is "bacterial SSU rRNA". It matches the Rfam family "Bacterial small subunit ribosomal RNA", at positions 664 to 1310 of the family's 1533-position model. Lineage: Bacteria; Bacillati; Bacillota; Bacilli; Caryophanales; Bacillaceae. The record is from RNAcentral.
AAUUUCCACGUGUAGCGGUGAAAUGCGUAGAGAUGUGGAGGAACACCAGUGGCGAAGGGGACUCUCUGGUCUGUAACUGACGCUGAGGAGCGAAAGCGUGGGGAGCGAACAGGAUUAGAUACCCUGGUAGUCCACGCCGUAAACGAUGAGUGCUAAGUGUUAGGGGGUUUCCGCCCCUUAGUGCUGCAGCUAACGCAUUAAGCACUCCGCCUGGGGAGUACGGUCGCAAGACUGAAACUCAAAGGAAUUGACGGGGGCCCGCACAAGCGGUGGAGCAUGUGGUUUAAUUUGAAGCAACGCGAAGAACCUUACCAGGUCUUGACAUCCUCUGACAAUCCUAGAGAUAGGACGUCCCCUUCGGGGGCAGAGUGACAGGUGGUGCAUGGUUGUCGUCAGCUCGUGUCGUGAGAUGUUGGGUUAAGUCCCGCAACGAGCGCAACCCUUGAUCUUAGUUGCCAGCAUUCAGUUGGGCACUCUAAGGUGACUGCCGGUGACAAACCGGAGGAAGGUGGGGAUGACGUCAAAUCAUCAUGCCCCUUAUGACCUGGGCUACACACGUGCUACAAUGGACAGAACAAAGGGCAGCGAAACCGCGAGGUUAAGCCAAUCCCACAAAUCUGUUCUCAGUUCGGAUCGCAGUCUGCAA